Molecule: ribosomal RNA, 510 nt
Filed under: uncultured bacterium
Lineage: Bacteria
Description: partial 16S ribosomal RNA
Rfam family: Bacterial small subunit ribosomal RNA
Source: RNAcentral
GACGAACGCUGGCGGCGUGCUUAACACAUGCAAGUCGAACGAAGAGCGAUGGAAGCUUGCUUCUAUCAAUCUUAGUGGCGAACGGGUGAGUAACGCGUAAUCAACCUGCACUUCAGAGGGGGACAACAGUUGGAAACGACUGCUAAUACCGCAUACGAUCUAAUCUCGGCAUCGAGGAUAGAUGAAAGGUGGCCUCUACAUGUAAGCUAUCACUGAAGGAGGGGAAUGCGUCUGAUUAGCUAGUUGGAGGGGUAACGGCCCACCAAGGCGAUGAUCAGUAGCCCGUCUGAGAGGAUGGACGGCCAACAUGGGACUGAGACAAGGCCCAGACUUCUACGGGAGGCAGCAGUGGGGAAUCUUCCGCAAUGGACGAAAGUCUGACGGAGCAACGCCGCGUGAGUGAUGACGGCCUUCGGGUUGGAAAGCUCUGUUAAUCGGGAAGAAAGGCCUUCUUGCGAAUAGUGAGAAGGAUUGACGGUACCGGAAUAGAAAGCCACGGCUAACUACGUG